Molecule: long non-coding RNA, 305 nt
Filed under: Nicotiana benthamiana
Lineage: Eukaryota; Viridiplantae; Streptophyta; Magnoliopsida; Solanales; Solanaceae
Description: long non-coding RNA (NBEN_LNC026008)
Source: RNAcentral
UAAACUCCUCAUAUAUACGAGGGCACCCAGCCAUGAGUCUCAUAAUGUCGACACCCCUUUCUGGAAUUGGCUUCUUACGAGCUUUCGCUGCAAAACGAGCAUGAGCAUUGGGUGAUACAAACUUGGUAUCAUCAUUGGUGGACGGAGAUGCAGCUCCUCGUGAUCGAGACGAUCCUGCCUGAUUGCUUGAGGAGGUACCUGUAGAACGUUAUUUCUUGGAGGGAGCCAUACUAUCUGCUAAAUAACAACAUAUUAGCAUAAUCCAAACUCCGGUUAGUGAAGCGAUGCGGCUACUCAGACUUCAC